AACGAAAAUUUUUAUCCUUAUCGGUGGAUCACUCGGCUCGUAUA
This 44-nucleotide ribosomal RNA is filed under the name Meloidogyne hapla. RNAcentral describes it as "partial 5.8S ribosomal RNA". Lineage: Eukaryota; Metazoa; Nematoda; Chromadorea; Rhabditida; Meloidogynidae. The record is from RNAcentral.